RNAcentral lists this ribosomal RNA (404 nucleotides) under uncultured microorganism. RNAcentral's name for it is "bacterial SSU rRNA". It matches the Rfam family "Archaeal small subunit ribosomal RNA", at positions 330 to 735 of the family's 1478-position model. The record is from RNAcentral.
GUGCAGCAGUCGAGAAACCUCCGCAAUACACGAAAGUGUGACGGGGCCAUCCCGAGUGCCGUCCGCUGAGGACGGCUUUUCCCCAGUGUACAUAGCUGGGGGAAUAAGGAGAGGGCAAGCCUGGUGUCAGCCGCCGCGGUAAUACCAGCUCUCCGAGUGGUGGGGACGCUUAUUGGGCCUAAAGCAUCCGUAGCCGGCUGGGCAAGUCCUCCGUUAAAUCCAACGAUUCAAUCGUUGGGCUGCGGGGGAUACUGGUCCAGCUUGGGGGCGGGAGAGGCCGACGGUAUUCCCGAGGUAGGGGUGAAAUCCUAUAAUCCCGGGAGGACCACCAGUGGCGAAGACUGUCGGCUAGAACGCGCCCGACGGUGAGGGAUGAAAGCUGGGGGAGCGAACCGGAUUAGAUA